This 852-nucleotide ribosomal RNA is filed under the name uncultured archaeon. RNAcentral's name for it is "bacterial SSU rRNA". It matches the Rfam family "Archaeal small subunit ribosomal RNA", at positions 21 to 872 of the family's 1478-position model. The record is from RNAcentral.
GGUUACUGCUAUCGGAGUUCGAUUAAGCCAUGCGAGUNUAAAGGUUUCUUNGGAAACCUUGGNNGGACUGCUCAGUAACACGUGGAUAACCUACCCUUGGGACUGGAAUAACCCCAGGAAACUGGGGAUAAUANNGNAUAGAUCAGGGAUGCUGGAAUGCACCUUGAUCCAAAGNUCCGGCGCCCGAGGAUGGGUCUGCGGCCUAUCAGGUAGUAGUGGGUGUAACGUACCUACCAGCCAACGACGGGUACGGGUUGUGAGAGCAAGAGCCCGGAGAUGGAUUCUGAGACACGAAUCCAGGCCCUACGGGGUGCAGCAGGCGCGAAACCUUUACAAUGUGCGAAAGCAUGAUAAGGGAACUCCGAGUGCCAGCAUCUAAUGUUGGCUGUCCUUGUGCCUAAAACGCACAAGAUAGCAAGGGCCGGGUAAGACCGGUGCCAGCCGCCGCGGUAACACCGGCGGCCCGAGUGGUAGCCGCUAUUAUUGGGUCUAAAGGGUCCGUAGCCGGUUCGAUAAGCCCUCUGGGAAAUCUGGUUGCUUAACAAUCAGACUGCCAAGGGAUACUGUCGAACUUGAGACCGGGAGAGGUAAGAGGUACUUCAGGGGUAGGAGUGAAAUCUUGUAAUCCCUGGGGGACCAUCUGUGGCGAAGGCGUCUUACCAGAACGGGUCUGACGGUGAGGGACGAAAGCUGGGGGCGCAAACCGGAUUAGAUACCCGGGUAGUCCCAGCCGUAAACGAUGCUCGCUAUGUGUCAGGUACGGUGUGACCGUAUCUGGUGCCGUAGGGAAGCCGUGAAGCGAGCCACCUGGGAAGUACGGCCGCAAGGCUGAAACUUAAAGGAAUUGGCGGG